Molecule: unclassified non-coding RNA, 383 nt
Filed under: soil metagenome
Description: partial contains 5.8S ribosomal RNA, internal transcribed spacer 2, and large subunit ribosomal RNA
Rfam family: 5.8S ribosomal RNA (bases 1-120)
Source: RNAcentral
GAUGAAGAACGCAGCGAAGUGCGAUAAGUAAUGUGAAUUGCAGAAUUCCGUGAAUCAUCGAAUCUUUGAACGCAAAUUGCACUCUCUGGUAUCCCGGGGAGUAUGCCUGUUUGAGGGUCAGUGUUAAUAAAAAUCGGUGCGUUGCACUUUAUUGUGACGUUCUGGAGUUUGAGUUAUCUUAACUUUUAGGUUAAGAGGCUUAAAAUUGACCUUUUUUUUGUGCAUUUUAGACGUACAUAAAUUUUCUUUUAUUUGUCUUUUAAUGCCAAAAUUAUAUUAGAUGCGACCAUAUCGUGUGGUUUCGUGUCUAUAAAUUUUUCAUGAUUUGACCUCAAAUCAGGUAGGAGUAACCGCUGAACUUAAGCAUAUCAAUAAGCGGAGGA